RNAcentral lists this ribosomal RNA (489 nucleotides) under uncultured bacterium. RNAcentral's name for it is "partial 16S ribosomal RNA". It matches the Rfam family "Bacterial small subunit ribosomal RNA", at positions 29 to 507 of the family's 1533-position model. The record is from RNAcentral.
GUGAACGCUGGCGGCAGGCCUAACACCUGCAAGUCGAACGGCAGCACCAGAGAGCUUGUUCUCUGGGUGGCGAGUGGCGGACGGGUGAGGAAUGCAUCGGAAUCUGCCCAUUUGUGGGGGAUAACCUCGGGAAACCGGGACUAAUACCGCAUACGACCUACGGGUGAAAGCAGGGGAUCUUCGGACCUUGCGCAGAUGGAUGAGCCGAUGCCGGAUUAGCUAGUUGGAGGGGUAAAGGCCCACCAAGGCGACGAUCCGUAGCUGGUCUGAGAGGAUGAUCAGCCACACUGGGACUGAGACACGGCCCAGACUCCUACGGGAGGCAGCAGUGGGGAAUAUUGGACAAUGGGCGCAAGCCUGAUCCAGCCAUGCCGCGUGUGUGAAGAAGGCCUUCGGGUUGUAAAGCACUUUUGUUGGGAAAGAAAAGCAGCCGGUUAAUACCCGGUUGUCAUGACGGUACCCAAAGAAUAAGCACCGGCUAACUUCGUG